Molecule: long non-coding RNA, 2159 nt
Filed under: Homo sapiens (human)
Lineage: Eukaryota; Metazoa; Chordata; Mammalia; Primates; Hominidae
Description: HSALNT0099694
Source: RNAcentral
CUGCCGCCGCCACCGCCUCAGGGAAGAGGAAGGAGGCCGCGGCUUCGCGUCCCGCCUCUCGCCUGGCUGGCCGUGGGGGGCCUGGACGCAGUGGCCUCCCGAAUCUCCCAGGACCCUAAUAUCGCCCGAGGAUGCUGGGAGGAACGCUGAGCCGACCUCUCCGUUAGGCUGAAGAUUGCACAAACCAUGCUAAUGGCCAGCAUGGAUGGAGGGAGCGUGUGAGAUGUGUGGGGCAGCGUGCUGCAUCUCAGCCAACUCCAGGAGAUGGAACGAAGUCUGUUUGUGGAAACACCCUUCCCCUCUGUUUACUUGGACCUGAUUUUGAAAGUAACAAGUCACUUUAUUUGGGCUGGAGGAAAAAGCACUAAACCAGAUGUUGAGGUGACCGGGAUUCCUGGAAGACAUUCUUCUCUCCAACGAGACACAUGAUGCAUGAAGUAGGAGCCCCUGGCAAGGAGCCCAGGCUGCCAUGGCCUCGCUCGCUCCUGCUUCCCGGCAUGGCCCCGAGGCUAGCUGCCUCUGUACUGCCUGAGCAUCGUCCCCUGGCGUGUCACCAGACUACCCACUACCUGUGCUUGCACCUGCAGGUGGGCAGUUCAGUCGUUGCAGGCUGAAGCUCCCUGUCACAGGAGUCCAUCAGCACUGGAGUUUACCAAAUGGCCCAGUCCAGGAAGCAUGCUCAUGGCAAUACCCGGAGUCUCCACUGCAAGACCAGAGUGACGGAGGCAGCAGAGCUCCUCAGCAGGCCAGGAGUCUCCAGAGGCACUGCCGAAUGUCUAAGAAGCAACCUCAUUGUAUUCCCAAGACCUGGGAAUCCAGGUCUCGCAGAUACGAUGAUACAAUCUAUAGCCAGGACAUCUCUUCAUGUGUAGUUUUCAAUGAAUACUAGGAUAAGCAACUAUCCCAGUCUUCCCAGGAUUGAGGGGCUUCUCCAGAUGCUGCACUUCUGGUGCUAAAAAUGAGAAACUGAAAUGAAUUAGUCACCCAAGGAAUGCUGACCCUGUGCUAUAUGAUCACAUUUACUCUUUAAAGCAAUGCUUUGAGACAUGAAAGCCAGAUAGGGAAGAAUUUGCAGCCUCAUACUGAUUGGCCAGUUGAGGAGUCAACUCAUCUCUCUUAUAGAAAAAAGAAGAUUACAUUUACGGAAUACAGAAUAUACUGUGCUCUCUACUUACCAAGAGAUUUCUUUCUCUACUGACAACUUUCUGUUGACGUGGUUACUGUGCAGGUUCUGACAGUCGAUUCUUUCCACCUAGUUCACUGCUGAAGCUAUAAUGAUUUCCAUUUUGCAAAAAGAGGAUGAUUACUUAUUAUCUGUGACCAUUUCUCAAUUCCAGAACAAUUGAGCUGCAUAGUCCCUGCAAUCUUAUAAAGGCAUUUGGCCUGGAAGAUGCUCUGCAGCCAUGUGCCAAGAAUAACGGCUAUAGGGACAAUGUUUCAUUAACCCCAAAGCAGCAACCUGAACCUCUUACUGUACAAUAUCUGCUCCGUUCAGAAUUAGCUCGACUUGAGUCACAGGAUGAAGCUUACCAAAAGGAAUUUCCACGUCCAAGGAAGGAACCAAGAUCACUGAGAGGUUAUAGUAUGAAAAGUGAAGAGAAAAAACCUAUUCUAAACAUUUUAUUAAUUGUCAAUAAUUAUUUUAAAAUAUUUAAUAUAGUCUCCUACCUGGUCCACUGGCAUCAAGCUGCCAAAUUUACACGGUCACUUUGGGAAGCCAGCUGGCAGGCAAACAUGGAAAGUGCUGGCUCCUAGCGUAGUGAGAAGACCACAGAUAGAUGGUAAUUUUCUUCUUUGUUUUAUUUUUCUUUUUCUUCUCUCCCUCUUUUUCUUCCCUCUUGCCUUUCCCUCCCAUUGCCCACUUUCUUUUUUUGGCUGCCGAAGAUUUAUUGCCUUUCAGUACUUAUAGAUGAUGUUUUCAUAAGUUCUAAUGAGGUCCCAGCAGUUUUUAACAAUAACAGGACAUUACUGUUCCUAAGAUAUAUUAUGUGUUUUCCCUCAUCUUUCUCCCUUGAAUGAAAUGCUUAGAAGUAGGCUAACCCCCAAUUCCCUUCCCUUUACUAUGAUAAAUGGCUCCAUUACUUAAUAGGGCUAAAUACUCUGCUGUGACUUUUAUACUGCUGAUUUGAAUAAAAUCUUACGAAAAGCUUUUCUCGUGU